Meleagris gallopavo (turkey) is the source of this 1010-nucleotide non-coding RNA. Lineage: Eukaryota; Metazoa; Chordata; Aves; Galliformes; Phasianidae. The record is from RefSeq and is a predicted model, not a curated record.
CCUAAAUGAAAUCUGUAGCUGAAGAUAGAAUCAUAGAAUAUCCCAAGUUGGAAGGGACCCACAAGGAUCAUUGAGUCCAACUCCUGACUCCACAUAGGACCACCCCAAAAUCAGAUAUAUGUCAGAGAGCAUUGUCCAGAUGCUUCUGGAACUCUGUCAGCUUGGGGCCAUGACCACUGCACUGGGAUGCCUGUUCCGGGGCCUGACCACCUUCUGCUGAAGAACCUUUUCAUCAUAUCCAGCCUGAUCCUCCCCUGAAGGUAUCAUUAUACUUUCCCAGGCAUAAUAGUACAUGUCGGUGUGCUACUGUAGUGGUAGAGGAAUGCAACCACGUCCAUGAGGCAAGCGAGCAGCCUACCUGGUAUCUCACCUUGUCCAGCGCUGAUUUCCAGCCAGAAGAUUCCCUUCUGUAGUUGCCACUCAAGAGCAGGUUGCAGCUUCUCUGACAUGCCCUUUAAUUGGGAAACAACAUUUCCCUUCACCUGGAAACCUGAAAGUACAGGAAGGCAUUCCUGAUCCCAAGGAUGGCUCCAGUUCUGGGUGUGUGAGCAAGGCAGCUGAGAGCAUGACCGUGUGGAUAACAGCACCCAUGCUCCCUUCCCUCCCUCUCAACUAGUGGUUUUUUACAUUGUAAGGAGUACAAUCAUUGUGGAAAUUAAAGGAAUAUAAGGUGGUAUUUCCAGUCUAUGACAUCCAUUAAGUCUAUUAAAGUAAGCCAAGAGUUAUAAAGGAGGUUAAUUUGUUCUCUUACAGAAUCUCAAAAUAAUAGCAUAAUCUAUUGAGGCUCCAGUACUGAUCCCUGGUGACUGCCUCACACUCCUUCAGUGGGGUUAACCACUUUGUGCAAGCCUGACAAAGACAGGGAAGGUCAGUCAUUCUCUGCCUGAUCCCUGGCUCUCUGCUGUUGUAAAGAGAACCUGUACUCUUUUUUGUUUUUUUUUUUUCCCUCCUCUAAAUGCUAGUAGAGCAGCUGCACCUAAAACCUCUGCCAUCCUUACUGCAGGACAUAC